GACGAACGCUGGCGGCGUGCCUAAUACAUGCAAGUCGAACGAGAGCGACCGGUGCUUGCACUGGUCAAUCUAGUGGCGAACGGGUGAGUAACACGUGGGUAACCUGCCCAUCAGAGGGGGAUAACAUUCGGAAACGGAUGCUAAAACCGCAUAGGUCUUCGAACCGCAUGGUUUGAAGAGGAAAAGAGGCGCAAGCUUCUGCUGAUGGGUGGACUCGCGGUGCAUUAGCUAGUUGGUGAGGUAACGGCUCACCAAGGCCGUGAUGCAUAGCCGACCUGAGAGGGUGAUCGGCCACAUUGGGACUGGGACACGGCCCAAACUCCUACGGGAGGCAGCAGUAGGGAAUCUUCCGCAAUGGACGCAAGUCUGACGGAGCAACGCCGCGUGAGUGAAGAAGGUGUUCGGAUCGUAAAGCUCUGUUGUUAGAGAAGAAUAAGUGCUAGAGUAACUGUUAGCGCCUUGACGGUAUCUAACCAGAAAGCCACGGCUAACUACGUG
This 498-nucleotide ribosomal RNA is filed under the name uncultured bacterium. Its description in RNAcentral is "partial 16S ribosomal RNA". It matches the Rfam family "Bacterial small subunit ribosomal RNA", at positions 28 to 507 of the family's 1533-position model. The record is from RNAcentral.